CGGGAUUCCCUGAGUAAGGGCGACUGAAACGGGACCUAGCCCAGCGCAUAACCUCGCGGUUCGGACAGAGCCGACGAGGGGUGUUGCGUAUCGGUGGAUCCGUCCCGCCCGUGCCCUACCGCCUAAGUCCAAGUAGGAAUACAGCCCCAUGGAGGGUGAGAGGCCCGUGUGGCGGCGCCCGCAAGGGCUACUAGGGCGCGAGCGGAGGGAUCGCUUCACCGGAGAGUCGGGUUGCUUAAUACUGCAGCCCUAAGAGAGGUGGUAAACUCCAUCUAAGGCUAAAUAUAACCACGAGUCCGAUAGGAGACAAGUACCGUGAGGGAAAGUUGAAAAGGACUUUGAAGAGAGAGUUCAACAGUACGUGAAGCCGUUAGAAGCCUAAACGGGUGGAACCGCGAAGGUCGAACGAGGGCACUCACCUCGUCGGGCGGGCGGGACUCGGGGCGCUCCGACAGGCCGGCGCCGAAGCCUAUUAUAACCGAUUAGAGCGCAGGAGCACCCCGUCUGUCGCGUCCCGUUCCGGCGGGCGUAAUUGUCCCUCUAGUAGCACACGCCGCGAGCCGUGGCGGGGACCGCGGGCCCACACAGCUCGGAUUGGUACCCUCUGUCCGGAGGGGAAACCGUUGGCUGGGAAGCAGUCGGUGACCCUGCCACGGCAUGGCCCAGGGGCAGCUGCCACCUAGGCGGCUGCCUCGCGGCGGAGAACGAAGUCGGUGAUCCACCUGACCCGUCUUGAAACACGGACCAAGGAGUCUAACAAGUGUGCGAGUCUAAGGGUCCCUCGAGACCUGGAGGCGCAGUGAAAGUGAGUGAGAUAUAAGCACAGGCCGAUCCCAGACAUGGGCGCAGGCCGGGGACUUGCCGCCAGGCGGCCGUCGACGGCCUCCCUCGCCCUUCGCGGGGCGGGACGGGGCUCCGGCGGUCCGCCGGCAAGUACCUCGAGAGCACACGCGUUGGGACCCGAAAGAUGGUGAACUAUGCCUGGCCAGGACGAAGCCAGAGGAAACUCUGGUGGAGGUCCGAACCAGUUCUGACGUGCAAAUCGAUUGUCAGAGCUGGGUAUAGGGGCGAAAGACUAAUCGAACCA
This 1087-nucleotide ribosomal RNA is filed under the name Atyopsis moluccensis. Its description in RNAcentral is "eukaryotic LSU rRNA". It matches the Rfam family "Eukaryotic large subunit ribosomal RNA", at positions 70 to 942 of the family's 3401-position model. The record is from RNAcentral. Lineage: Eukaryota; Metazoa; Arthropoda; Malacostraca; Decapoda; Atyidae.